RNAcentral lists this ribosomal RNA (375 nucleotides) under uncultured bacterium. RNAcentral describes it as "bacterial SSU rRNA". It matches the Rfam family "Bacterial small subunit ribosomal RNA", at positions 524 to 898 of the family's 1533-position model. The record is from RNAcentral.
CACGUAGGUGGCUAGCGUUAUUCGGAUUCACUGGGCGUAAAGGGUCCGCAGGGGGCCUGCCAAGUCUGUCGUGAAAUCCCGGGGCUCAACCCCGGGCCUGCGGUGGAGACUGGCGGGCUGGAGUGCGUGAUGGGCAGACGGAACACCUGGUGUAGCGGUGGAAUGCGUGGAUAUCAGGUGGAACACCGACGGCGAAGGCGGUCUGCUGGCGCGCAACUGACCCUCAUGGACGAAAGCGUGGGUAGCAAACAGGAUUAGAUACCCUGGUAGUCCACGCCGUAAACUUUGAGAACCAGACAUGGUGGGGCUGGCCCCCUCCGUGUCCAAGUCAACGCGAUAAGUUCUCCGCCUGGGGACUACGGCCGCAAGGCUAAA